This 492-nucleotide ribosomal RNA is filed under the name uncultured bacterium. RNAcentral describes it as "partial 16S ribosomal RNA". It matches the Rfam family "Bacterial small subunit ribosomal RNA", at positions 29 to 507 of the family's 1533-position model. The record is from RNAcentral.
AGUGAACGCUGGCGGUAGGCCUAACACAUGCAAGUCGAACGGCAGCACAGUAAGAGCUUGCUCUUACGGGUGGCGAGUGGCGGACGGGUGAGGAAUACAUCGGAAUCUACUUUUUCGUGGGGGAUAACGUAGGGAAACUUACGCUAAUACCGCAUACGACCUACGGGUGAAAGCAGGGGAUCUUCGGACCUUGCGCGAUUGAAUGAGCCGAUGUCGGAUUAGCUAGUUGGCGGGGUAAAGGCCCACCAAGGCGACGUUCCGUAGCUGGUCUGAGAGGAUGAUCAGCCACACUGGAACUGAGACACGGUCCAGACUCCUACGGGAGGCAGCAGUGGGGAAUAUUGGACAAUGGGCGCAAGCCUGAUCCAGCCAUACCGCGUGGGUGAAGAAGGCCUUCGGGUUGUAAAGCCCUUUUGUUGGGAAAGAAAAGCAGCAGGUUAAUACCCCGCUGUUCCGACGGUGCCCAAAGAAUAAGCACCGGCUAACUUCGUG